This 512-nucleotide ribosomal RNA is filed under the name Candida albicans. RNAcentral describes it as "eukaryotic LSU rRNA". The stretch from base 144 to 297 matches the Rfam family "5.8S ribosomal RNA". The record is from RNAcentral. Lineage: Eukaryota; Fungi; Ascomycota; Pichiomycetes; Serinales; Debaryomycetaceae.
AGGUUACUGACUGCUUAUUGCACCACAUGUGUUUUUCUUUGAAACAAACUUGCUUUGGCGGUGGGCCCAGCCUGCCGCCAGAGGUCUAAACUUACAACCAAUUUUUUAUCAACUUGUCACACCAGAUUAUUACUAAUAGUCAAAACUUUCAACAACGGAUCUCUUGGUUCUCGCAUCGAUGAAGAACGCAGCGAAAUGCGAUACGUAAUAUGAAUUGCAGAUAUUCGUGAAUCAUCGAAUCUUUGAACGCACAUUGCGCCCUCUGGUAUUCCGGAGGGCAUGCCUGUUUGAGCGUCGUUUCUCCCUCAAACCGCUGGGUUUGGUGUUGAGCAAUACGACUUGGGUUUGCUUGAAAGACGGUAGUGGUAAGGCGGGAUCGCUUUGACAAUGGCUUAGGUCUAACCAAAAACAUUGCUUGCGGCGGUAACGUCCACCACGUAUAUCUUCAAACUUUGACCUCAAAUCAGGUAGGACUACCCGCUGAACUUAAGCAUAUCAAAAAGCGGGAGGAA